This 202-nucleotide long non-coding RNA is filed under the name Daucus carota (carrot). Its description in RNAcentral is "long non-coding RNA (DCAR_LNC007672)". The record is from RNAcentral. Lineage: Eukaryota; Viridiplantae; Streptophyta; Magnoliopsida; Apiales; Apiaceae.
CAAAAUACUUCAAUGACAAAGGACAGCUAGUUGAGAUGAAGAAAAAUUCAGCACAAUUGGAGACAGUAGCUGGAAUCAGGGCUCUUAUGUUUAAUGAAGAGUCUGACAAAGCUUACUACAUCAGGCUGGACAAGGACAUGAAAAGAAAUAAGAUCUAUGAUCUUAGAGCUGCCAUCUAUCAAACUGGAGUUUCAGACCCAGA